GUUAUUAGUUUAAGUUUAGAAUUUUAUUUUGAUUAAGUAGUGGUUUUAUAACU
This 53-nucleotide transfer RNA is filed under the name Tetrameres grusi. Its description in RNAcentral is "tRNA-Ile". Lineage: Eukaryota; Metazoa; Nematoda; Chromadorea; Rhabditida; Tetrameridae. The record is from RNAcentral.